Molecule: ribosomal RNA, 460 nt
Filed under: uncultured bacterium
Lineage: Bacteria
Description: partial 16S ribosomal RNA
Rfam family: Bacterial small subunit ribosomal RNA
Source: RNAcentral
CCUACGGGAGGCAGCAGUGAGGAAUAUUGGUCAAUGGACGAGAGUCUGAACCAGCCAAGUAGCGUGAAGGAUGACUGCCCUAUGGGUUGUAAACUUCUUUUAUAAAGGAAUAAAACGAGGCACGUGUGCCUUUUUGCAUGUACUUUAUGAAUAAGGAUCGGCUAACUCCGUGCCAGCAGCCGCGGUAAUACGGAGGAUCCGAGCGUUAUCCGGAUUUCUUGGGUUUAAAGGGAGCGUAGAUGGGUUGUUAAGUCAGUUGUGAAAGUUUGCGGCUCAACCGUAAAAUUGCAAGUGAUAAUGGCAGUCUUGAGUACAGUUGAGGUAGGCGGAAUUCGUGGUGUAGCGGUGAAAUGCUUAGAUAUCACGAAGAACCCCGAUUGCGAAGGCAGCUUACUAAACUGUGACUGACAUUGAUGCUCGAAAGUGUGGGUAUCAAACAGGAUUAGAUACCCGUGUAGUC